RNAcentral lists this microRNA precursor (73 nucleotides) under Pelobates cultripes (western spadefoot toad). The record is from RNAcentral. Lineage: Eukaryota; Metazoa; Chordata; Amphibia; Anura; Pelobatidae.
UAGGAAUCAAAGGUAUACAAUAACAUAAUAAUUUAUCUGAUGUUAUUAUGUUAUUGUAUACCUUUGAUUCCUA